RNAcentral lists this ribosomal RNA (580 nucleotides) under uncultured Geobacteraceae bacterium. Its description in RNAcentral is "bacterial SSU rRNA". It matches the Rfam family "Bacterial small subunit ribosomal RNA", at positions 1 to 526 of the family's 1533-position model. Lineage: Bacteria; Pseudomonadati; Thermodesulfobacteriota; Desulfuromonadia; Geobacterales; Geobacteraceae. The record is from RNAcentral.
KYGGCCGMCWSUGKGAYGGAUAUSUKYMSAAUUCGCCCUUAGAGUUUGAUCCUGGCUCAGAACGAACGCUGGCGGCGUGCUUAACACAUGCAAGUCGAACGUGAUCCGGAGCUUGCUCCGGUGAAAGUGGCGCACGGGUGAGUAACGCGUGGAUAAUCUGCCCUGGUAUCUGGGAUAACAUCUCGAAAGGGGUGCUAAUACCGGAUAAGCCUACGGGAUCCUCGGAUUCUGCAGGAAAAGGUGGCCUCUAUUUAUAAGCUACCGUAUCAGGAUGGGUCCGCGUACCAUUAGCUAGUUGGUGGGGUAAUGGCCCACCAAGGCUACGAUGGUUAGCUGGUCUGAGAGGAUGAUCAGCCACACUGGAACUGAGACACGGUCCAGACUCCUACGGGAGGCAGCAGUGGGGAAUUUUGCGCAAUGGGGGAAACCCUGACGCAGCAACGCCGCGUGAGUGAUGAAGGCUUUCGGGUCGUAAAGCUCUGUCAGAGGGGAAGAAAUGAAACGUGCUAAUAUCACGUUUUCUUGACGGUACCCUCAAAGGAAGCACCGGCUAACUCCGUGCCAGCAGCCGCGGUAAUAC